This 253-nucleotide ribosomal RNA is filed under the name uncultured bacterium. RNAcentral's name for it is "partial 16S ribosomal RNA". It matches the Rfam family "Bacterial small subunit ribosomal RNA", at positions 524 to 776 of the family's 1533-position model. The record is from RNAcentral.
UACGGGGGGGGCAAGCGUUGUUCGGAAUUACUGGGCGUAAAGGGCUUGUAGGUGGCCAACUAAGUCAGACGUGAAAUCCCUCGGCUUAACCGGGGAACUGCGUCUGGUACUGGAUGGCUUGAGUGUGGGAGAGGGAUGCGGAAUUCCAGGUGUAGCGGUGAAAUGCGUAGAUAUCUGGAGGAACACCGGUGGCGAAGGCGGCAUCCUGGACCAUUACUGACACUGAAAAGCGAAAGCCAGGGGAGCAAACGGG